This 139-nucleotide non-coding RNA is filed under the name uncultured Devosia sp. Its description in RNAcentral is "FMN riboswitch (RFN element)". It matches the Rfam family "FMN riboswitch aptamer (RFN element)". Rfam says of the family: The RFN element is a highly conserved domain that is found frequently in the 5'-untranslated regions of prokaryotic mRNAs that encode for flavin mononucleotide (FMN) biosynthesis and transport proteins. This element is a metabolite-dependent riboswitch that directly binds FMN in the absence of proteins. Lineage: Bacteria; Pseudomonadati; Pseudomonadota; Alphaproteobacteria; Hyphomicrobiales; Devosiaceae. The record is from RNAcentral.
UGUUCUCAGGGCGGGGUGAAAUUCCCCACCGGCGGUAAAGGCAGCAAUGCCAAGCCCGCGAGCGCUCCCGGUGAUAGGGAGGUCAGCAGAUCCGGUGUAAUUCCGGAGCCGACGGUCAUAGUCCGGAUGAAAGAGAACG